Molecule: ribosomal RNA, 474 nt
Filed under: uncultured bacterium
Lineage: Bacteria
Description: bacterial SSU rRNA
Rfam family: Bacterial small subunit ribosomal RNA
Source: RNAcentral
AACGAACGCUGGCUGCAUGCCUAACACAUGCAAGUCGAACGAACUCUUCGGAGUUAGUGGCGCACGGGUGCGUAACGCGUGGGAAUCUGCCCUUGGGUACGGAAUAACUCAGAGAAAUUUGUGCUAAUACCGUAUAAUGACUUCGGUCCAAAGAUUUAUCGCCCAAGGAUGAGCCCGCGUAAGAUUAGCUAGUUGGUGGGUAAAAGCCUACCAAGGCGACGAUCUUUAGCUGGUCUGAGAGGAUGAUCAGCCACACUGGGACUGAGACACGGCCCAGACUCCUACGGGAGGCAGCAGUGGGGAAUAUUGGACAAUGGGCGAAAGCCUGAUCCAGCAAUGCCGCGUGAGUGAUGAAGGCCUUAGGGUUGUAAAGCUCUUUUGUCAGGGAAGAAACGGUGAGUUCUAAUAAAGCUUGCUAAUGACGGUACCUGAAGAAUAAGCACCGGCUAACUACGUGCCAGCAGCCGCGGUAAU